This 68-nucleotide microRNA precursor is filed under the name Bombyx mori (domestic silkworm). Its description in RNAcentral is "mir-2774 microRNA precursor family". It matches the Rfam family "mir-2774 microRNA precursor family". The record is from Rfam by way of RNAcentral. Lineage: Eukaryota; Metazoa; Arthropoda; Insecta; Lepidoptera; Bombycidae.
ACAACAUUCGGGCCGUCGGUCUACUGAACAAUAUCAUCCGGUCGGUGGAAUAUCCUUUCUUUCGUCGU